Long non-coding RNA from Ailuropoda melanoleuca (giant panda), 1173 nucleotides. RefSeq lists it as uncharacterized. The record is from RefSeq and is a predicted model, not a curated record. The transcript has 4 exons. NCBI's taxonomy places the organism in Eukaryota, Metazoa, Chordata, Mammalia, Carnivora, Ursidae.
GUUUGAGAACUGUGCUCUGGCUGGCCUGGAAGAAAGCAAACAUACCAGGUUGUGAAGUAACAGUGGUGGCCACGGAGAGAAGACCUAACAGCAGCCUUUGGUUGCCCAGAGCAGUUCCUGGCUGACAGCCAGCAAGUAAAUGGAACUUCAGCCCUACAAUCAUGAGGAACUGAAUUCUGCCAACUAUAUUACAUCAAUGAGCUUAGAAGUGAAUUUUUCCCCAGAGCCUCCAGUCAAAAACUCAGCCCAGCUGACUCUUUGGUUUCAGCCUUGUAGUACCCUGAACGGAGAAUGUAGCCGCCAUGCCAGACUUCUGAACAGGUGGUAAGGUAGAGGAUGAAAGAGAAGCUCAGGGGCCGUAGUGGUAGUACUGACUACUGAAAAUCCAGAGGACAAAGCAGUUGAAGAAGCAUUGACAUCUACUUCAAAACAAGCUCCACACCCAACAUGAAGCUCGAACUCAUGACUCUGAGAUCAAGAGUUGCGUGCUCCACUGACUGAGCCAGCCAGGAGACAUGCUGACUAUCCCUACCACUGGCCCUUGGAUGAAUGAAGACUGUCUUCUCCAUUCCAGCAGCAUUCUCUAAUUUUGUAUCUUGGAGAGGAGGAGGUAGGAUAUCCCCAGAGAGAAUAUUUAGGGUUUAUUUUUUCCCAGAAGGUUCAGAGCUCCUUAUGCAAAUUCAUCUACUUCUGCCCUAAGUAAACAUCUUUGCAUUUCAGGAGUCACAGUGAGUGACAGACUUGGUGAAGCAAUGAAAGAUACUUGCUAUACUCUUAUUACAAAGCAUUACAGCCUCAUUAAAGCUCUCUGCCUGCCUGACAUUUGUAGAAAGAAUAGGGCCAUUCUAGUGACUCUUCAAGAAAUAAAUAAUUAGCAUUUCUUGCAAACAAUAUAAAAAAAAAGUCUUACUCUGCUACAUGUAAAAUAGCCAGACUGCCUAGGUCCAUAGUAGAGGACUUUAAGCCUUCUCUCUCUAUUUACCACCACUCUUAUUAUUUGUCCUAGUUCCUCUAAAAUUCUUUUUGAUGCAAGAGUCUUUUUCUCUUGGAUGUUAUGUAGCUUAUUCUUCAUUCAACUAAAUCAAUAAGGGCAAUAAAGUAAAAUAAAAGGGUGUUUAAGGCUAAAUCUAAGACUGAAGUAUAAGAAGAAGAGGGGUUAAGGAGGAGGUGGGA